Molecule: ribosomal RNA, 731 nt
Filed under: uncultured bacterium
Lineage: Bacteria
Description: bacterial SSU rRNA
Rfam family: Bacterial small subunit ribosomal RNA
Source: RNAcentral
AGAGUUUGAUCCUGGCUCAGGAUGAACGCUAGCGGCAGGCUUAAUACAUGCAAGUCGAGGGGCAGCACGGGUAGCAAUACCUGGUGGCGACCGGCAAACGGGUGCGGAACACGUACGCAACUUUCCUUCAACUGAGGAAUAGCCCAGGGAAACUUGGAUUAAUACCUCGUAAUAUUAUGAAGUGGCAUCACUUUAUAAUUAUAGCUCCGGCGGUUGAAGAUGGGCGUGCGCCUGAUUAGGUAGUUGGCGGGGUAACGGCCCACCAAGCCUACGAUCAGUAACUGGUGUGAGAGCACGACCAGUCACACGGGCACUGAGACACGGGCCCGACUCCUACGGGAGGCAGCAGUAAGGAAUAUUGGGCAAUGGACGCAAGUCUGACCCAGCCAUGCCGCGUGGAGGAUGAAGGUCCUCUGGAUUGUAAACUUCUUUUAUUUGGGAAGAAACCCAUAUUUUCUAAUGUGGUUGACGGUACCAGAUGAAUAAGCACCGGCUAACUCCGUGCCAGCAGCCGCGGUAAUACGGAGGGUGCAAGCGUUAUCCGGAUUCACUGGGUUUAAAGGGUGCGUAGGUGGGCAGGUAAGUCAGUGGUGAAAUCUCCGGGCUUAACCCGGAAACUGCCGUUGAUACUAUCUGUCUUGAAUAUCGUGGAGGUUAGCGGAAUAUGUCAUGUAGCGGUGAAAUGCUUAGAUAUGACAUAGAACACCGAUUGCGAAGGCAGCUAACUACAC